AAAACCAACUUCAUUCUCAUCACCAUUAUCUUCAAAGAUUUGGAAGCGUGAUUUUCUCACUCCCUCAACUAACAGUUGAUCUUGUUUUCCUUUCAUAGUAGUCUUCCCCGAAAUAUUUGGUCUUCGUCUUUGGGCUAGAGCUUGCUUCCAAGGUCCGUAUAGAGAAACCAGAUCCUUCAUAGCACCCGCAAUUGUAAUCAUCACAAUAUCAAUAGUCAGCACCAUCGUUGGCUUUGUCAAGUCCACUUUUUUCCCAUUCCCUUGUUGUUCCAGAUAACUCUACUUAGUGUGCCCAUAGCAGCCACACUCGUAGUAGAUGACAGGUAAGCCCUUGUACUCCACAUAUUGAACAUGACCAUCAAUACCAUCAACUGUGACACCCCAAACUCAGUUGGGACGGUCCGACCCGAAUUUCGAAUGUCACAUUAGCCACCAAAGUGACUCUUCGUUAAAACACCACAAAACACACCAUUCAACCAAUCACACCACACAAUUGCAACAUGAUCCAUAUUAAAAAGAUAUCUUAUUUGCAUGCUUUUCUAUUCAAAUCAUAAAAAUAGCUCAAGAAAAAUCAAUUCCUUUGACACCUGCAAACCCACCUCGCGGCGAACUUCCAACUAGAAACCCUAGCAGCACACGGAUGACUAGCUAACACCCAGCUCGCAACCUACCCUGUGAACAUCGGUUCACAACUUACCUUGCGAACUCGUUAUUGGGCGAUUUAACACAUUUUUACUGGUAGCGUGUCUGUAUUUUUACUAGCAAAAUUUUUUGCAUAUUGUUAUUGGUGGUUUUAACCACAACGGGCUUAAGCCUAUACUAUUUUGGAGUUCAGAUGAUGAGUUCUAGGGAACCCAUGGUGUGUAGCGGAUGAAUGAGUAGGAUUAUUGCAUUGAAACAUUGAGCAUGCCAUGUUUGUAUGUUGUACUGACUUGCCAAAUUGGUUGAAUUUUAUAAAUUGAUGAAUGAUUGUUUGAUUGAUUAAAUGCUUAUUUUGUAUUGACUCACACUGGGUUUUUAAGCUCACCCCCUACUUUACUCUUUACAGACAAUUCUCAGGACUAGGCUUGGAUUCGAUAUUUAGAAGUUUCUUUAUGGAAUUUUUGGCACAUAAAUUUUUAUUAAAAUUUCUUUUCUUAUUAUUUCGAUAUUAUUCUUAUUUUUAUUUGAGACUGUAAGGUUUAUUUAAAUUUGGACUAUGGUAUGAGACAUUUUUUAACUAGAAUUUUUGCAUGCAUGAAUUUUUUACUGCACAAACGGUAAAUCUAAGCUUUUAACAAAGGAUUUUUCAAUGCAAUCAACUAAGUUUUUUUUUUAAAUGGCACGAUCAAUAUAUAAAUUGAACUUAAUAAUAGAUGGC
This 1360-nucleotide long non-coding RNA is filed under the name Gossypium barbadense (sea-island cotton). RNAcentral describes it as "long non-coding RNA (GBAR_LNC005945)". The record is from RNAcentral. Lineage: Eukaryota; Viridiplantae; Streptophyta; Magnoliopsida; Malvales; Malvaceae.